GUUGGUUCUACCCGAAGGCGAUGUGCUAACCGCAAGGAGGCAGUCGACCACGGUAGGGUCAGCGACUGGGGUGAAGUCGUAACAAGGUAGCYGUAGGUGAACCUKCAGAAAGGAUCA
This 117-nucleotide ribosomal RNA is filed under the name uncultured eukaryote. RNAcentral's name for it is "partial small subunit ribosomal RNA". The record is from RNAcentral.